This 1536-nucleotide ribosomal RNA is filed under the name uncultured Lactobacillus sp. Its description in RNAcentral is "bacterial SSU rRNA". It matches the Rfam family "Bacterial small subunit ribosomal RNA". The record is from RNAcentral. Lineage: Bacteria; Bacillati; Bacillota; Bacilli; Lactobacillales; Lactobacillaceae.
GAGUUUGAUCCUGGCUCAGGACGAACGCUGGCGGCGUGCCUAAUACAUGCAAGUCGAACGAACCCUGGUAUUGAUUGGUGCUUGCAUCAUGAUUUACAUUUGAGUGAGUGGCGAACUGGUGAGUAACACGUGGGAAACCUGCCCAGAAGCGGGGGAUAACACCUGGAAACAGAUGCUAAUACCGCAUAACCACUUGGACCACAUGGUCCGAGUUUGAAAGAUGGCUUCGGCUAUCACUUUUGGAUGGUCCCGCGGCGUAUUAGCUAGAUGGUGAGGUAACGGCUCACCAUGGCAAUGAUACGUAGCCGACCUGAGAGGGUAAUCGGCCACAUUGGGACUGAGACACGGCCCAAACUCCUACGGGAGGCAGCAGUAGGGAAUCUUCCACAAUGGACGAAAGUCUGAUGGAGCAACGCCGCGUGAGUGAAGAAGGGUUUCGGCUCGUAAAACUCUGUUGUUAAAGAAGAACAUAUCUGAGAGUAACUGUUCAGGUAUUGACGGUAUUUAACCAGAAAGCCACGGCUAACUACGUGCCAGCAGCCGCGGUAAUACGCAGGUGGCAAGCGUUGUCCGGAUUUAUUGGGCGUAAAGCGAGCGCCAGGCGGUUUUUUUAAGUCUGAUGUGAAAGCCUUCGGCUCAACCGAAGAAGUGCAUCGGAAACUGGGAAACUUGAGUGCAGAAGAGGACAGUGGAACUCCAUGUGUAGCGGUGAAAUGCGUAGAUAUAUGGAAGAACACCAGUGGCGAAGGCGGCUGUCUGGUCUGUAACUGACGCUGAGGCUCGAAAGUAUGGGUAGCAAACAGGAUUAGAUACCCUGGUAGUCCAUACCGUAAACGAUGAAUGCUAAGUGUUGGAGGGUUUCCGCCCUUCAGUGCUGCAGCUAACGCAUUAAGCAUUCCGCCUGGGGGAGUACGGCCGCAAGGCUGAAACUCAAAGGAAUUGACGGGGGGCCCGCACAAGCGGUGGAGCAUGUGGUUUAAUUCGAAGCUACGCGAAGAACCUUACCAGGUCUUGACAUACUAUGCAAAUCUAAGAGAUUAGACGUUCCCUUCGGGGACAUGGAUACAGGUGGUGCAUGGUUGUCGUCAGCUCGUGUCGUGAGAUGUUGGGUUAAGUCCCGCAACGAGCGCAACCCUUAUUAUCAGUUGCCAGCAUUAAGUUGGGCACUCUGGUGAGACUGCCGGUGACAAACCGGAGGAAGGUGGGGAUGACGUCAAAUCAUCAUGCCCCUUAUGACCUGGGCUACACACGUGCUACAAUGGAUGGUACAGCGAGUUGCGAACUCGCGAGAGUAAGCUAAUCUCUUAAAGCCAUUCUCAGUUCGGAUUGUAGGCUGCAACUCGCCUACAUGAAGUCGGAAUCGCUAGUAAUCGCAGAUCAGCAACGCUGCGGUGAAUACGUUCCCGGGCCUUGUACACACCGCCCGUCAAGUCACGAAAGUUGGUAACACCCGAAGCCGAUGGCCUAACCACCUUGUGUGGGGGGAGUCGUCGAAGGUGGGACUGGCGAUUGGGACUAAGUCGUAACAAGGUAACC